This 1105-nucleotide ribosomal RNA is filed under the name uncultured bacterium. Its description in RNAcentral is "bacterial SSU rRNA". It matches the Rfam family "Bacterial small subunit ribosomal RNA", at positions 1 to 1155 of the family's 1533-position model. The record is from RNAcentral.
UUCGAUUAGAGUUUGAUCAUGGCUCAGGAUGAACGCUGGCGGCGUGCUUAACACAUGCAAGUCGAACGAACCUUCGGGUUAGUGGCGGACGGGUGAGUAACGCGUGAGAAUCUGCCCUCAGGAGGGGGAUAACGGUUGGAAACGACCGCUAAUACCCCAUAUGCCUACUGGUGAAAUGAAUUUCGCCUGAGGAUGAGCUCGCGUCUGAUUAGCUAGUUGGUGAGGUAAUGGCUCACCAAGGCUUCGAUCAGUAGCUGGUCUGAGAGGAUGAUCAGCCACACUGGGACUGAGACACGGCCCAGACUCCUACGGGAGGCAGCAGUGGGGAAUUUUCCGCAAUGGGCGAAAGCCUGACGGAGCAACGCCGCGUGAGGGACGAAGGCCUCUGGGCUGUAAACCUCUUUUCUCAAGGAAGAAGAUAUGACGGUACUUGAGGAAUAAGCCACGGCUAAUUCCGUGCCAGCAGCCGCGGUAAUACGGGAGUGGCAAGCGUUAUCCGGAAUUAUUGGGCGUAAAGCGUCCGCAGGCGGCUUUUCAAGUCUGCUGUUAAAAAGUGGAGCUUAACUCCAUCAUGGCAGUGGAAACUGAAAGGCUUGAGUAUGGUAGGGGCAGAGGGAAUUCCCGGUGUAGCGGUGAAUGCGUAGAUAUCGGGAAGAACACCAGUGGCGAAGGCGCUCUGCUGGGCCAUUACUGACGCUCAUGGACGAAAGCCAGGGGAGCGAAAGGGAUUAGAUACCCCUGUAGUCCUGGCCGUAAACGAUGAACACUAGGUGUCGGGGGAAUCGACCCCUUCGGUGUCGUAGCUAACGCGUUAAGUGUUCCGCCUGGGGAGUACGCACGCAAGUGUGAAACUCAAAGGAAUUGACGGGGGCCCGCACAAGCGGUGGAGUAUGUGGUUUAAUUCGAUGCAACGCGAAGAACCUUACCAGGGUUUGACAUCCUGCGAACCUCUUAGAAAUUUGAGGGUGCCUUCGGGAAUGCAGUGACAGGUGGUGCAUGGCUGUCGUCAGCUCGUGUCGUGAGAUGUUGGGUUAAGUCCCGCAACGAGCGCAACCCACGUUUUUAGUUGCCAGCAUUUAGUUGGGCACUCUAGAAAGACCGCCGG